Molecule: ribosomal RNA, 395 nt
Filed under: uncultured bacterium
Lineage: Bacteria
Description: partial 16S ribosomal RNA
Rfam family: Bacterial small subunit ribosomal RNA
Source: RNAcentral
CCUACGGGAGGCAGCAGUGGGGAAUAUUGCGCAAUGGGCGAAAGCCUGACGCAGCGACGCCGCGUGAGGGAUGAAGGUCUUCGGAUCGUAAACCUCUGUCAGCAGGGAAGAACGGUCACUGUGCUAAUCAGCAGUGAAUUGACGGUACCUGCAAAGGAAGCACCGGCUAACUCCGUGCCAGCAGCCGCGGUAAUGCGGAGGGUGCGAGCGUUAAUCGGAAUUACUGGGCGUAAAGCGCUCGUAGGCGGUAUGGCAAGUCAAGGGUGAAAUCCCCGCGCUCGAGGUGGGAACUGCCUUGGAAACUGGGGAACUGGAGUGGGGGAGGGGCUAGGGGGAGUGCAGGGGUAGGGGUGAAAUGCGUAGAGAUGUGGAGGAACAGCAGUGGCGAAGGCGAG